ACGGGGCGCACAGGCGCUUGGCGCCCGCGGGCCAUCGAUCGCCUUCCCGGCCCCAGGAUAACGACCCGUUGAGGGAGCCUCCCCUCCGCAGCCCCCCGGGGCGUAGGUUCGAAUCCCGCCGGCCCAACUGGGAGCACGAUCGCGGACCGGGGGACGUCCUUUUCAGAGGAGGAUCUAAUGGACAGGGACCGAAGAGGUCUCCCACUAUGUGCCACACACCAUGGGGUUUUCUUGAUUGGUCCCAAAUCCAAAGAAAUCCAUUUUCCUCACACAGGAGUGAGUGCAGCCACCGGAUCUUAGCUAAGGAGAGGAAGACCCUUAUUUACAGGCCCUCCUGAAUCUUAGGCUGGCCUUCUACAACUCCUCAUGUAGCUGAGGACACCUUGAAUUCCUGCUCCUCCUGCCUCCACCUCCCCAGGGCAGGCAGACAUUACCAGGCCUGGUUUAUGUGGCGCUGGGGAUGGAUGCACCUAGAGCUUUGUGUAACUCUAGGCCACUAAGGCCAGGUCUGGAGAAGCUACGGGGACCCCACCCCGGCUCCCACUAGCCUAGGAGCUAGACCCUGGUGUUACUGCCUGGAACGCUGUGUGGACCUAGGACUCCUCCCGGGGGCCGCGCUCCCCCCUUCUUCCCCGCCCUGUCCCGGGCUGAGGGGAAGGUGGUGAGGGUCUGCUCUGACCGCCUCCCCCAGCCCACUGCAGCGGCGCACCGAUCAGCAGCGCCAAUCGAUCGAUGGCGUAUUGAGCACUUUUCAAGCUCGGGUGAGUUUUGCGGAUUCAGUGUAAACCGCAGGUUGGGCCCCCACUCUCAUCGACCUGGGCGCGGGAGCCCCCUCCUUGCCGCGCUGACAGCUCUGCACCCUGUGCAGGGCGCCCCAACCCUCCCGGGACCCCGCAGAGAGAAUAGGCUGCCGGGAGAUGGAGGGGCUGCUCAGGAGGACAGGACAGUGUGCAUAGCCUGCAGGGACCGUGGGAGCCCUGGGGGGUUGGGGGGAGGCAGAGGGGAGGCCUCGAUAGGGAGUCACAGAGACUGGGGCAGCAGCCACCUUCCUCAGAGACCAUCAUUUCCUGUCUAACCAGGCACCCCCUUCCCUAACCUUGUGACUCAGCCUGUGUGAUGCUGGCGACCUCACUCCCUGCUCAGGCCUCCCCAGAGCCACCUGUUUGGCCACAGCACCUGUGACUCAUAAGACAUGCUUGGAAAUAGAGGUGGAAGGGGAAGGGAUACAGUAGCGACUGGAGCAAGAGUUUCCCCAUAUAUUCAUACAUCCAUGCUGUCCACUCCUCUGGAAACUUCCUUCAAACUCUACCCCAGGUUCCCUGUCCCAUUACCCAUGCACCCACUAUUUACCCAUCCAU
This is a long non-coding RNA of Mus musculus (house mouse), 1358 nucleotides long. RefSeq annotates it as predicted gene, 40716. NCBI's taxonomy places the organism in Eukaryota, Metazoa, Chordata, Mammalia, Rodentia, Muridae. The record is from RefSeq and is a predicted model, not a curated record. The transcript has 3 exons.